CGCGCAGGCGGCCAGGUCAGUCGAAUGUGAAAGCCCCCGGCUCAACUGGGGAUGGUCGUUCGAUACUGCCUGGCUCGAAGAUAGGAGAGGGAAGUGGAAUUUCAGGUGUAGUGGUGAAAUGCGUAGAUAUCUGAAGGAACACCAGUGGCGAAGGCGACUUUCUGGCCUAUUCUUGACGCUGAGGCGCGAAAGCUAGGGGAGCGAACG
Molecule: ribosomal RNA, 207 nt
Filed under: uncultured bacterium
Lineage: Bacteria
Description: partial 16S ribosomal RNA
Rfam family: Bacterial small subunit ribosomal RNA
Source: RNAcentral